Molecule: RNA transcript, 4954 nt
Organism: Vigna angularis (adzuki bean)
Lineage: Eukaryota; Viridiplantae; Streptophyta; Magnoliopsida; Fabales; Fabaceae
Gene name: putative disease resistance RPP13-like protein 1
Exons: 2
Source: RefSeq, a predicted model, not a curated record
ACUCAUUAUCUUUUGUCAGUCCUUCAUUCACGUAACUUAGCUGCACUUCCCAUUUUCUCAAUCCUUUCUUCUCCUCAAUUUUGCCACUUCCUUUCCAACCAUGCCUGUCCUUGAAACACUUGGUGGUGCUCUUUUUGGUGCUGUUCUUCAGGUGUUAUUUGACAAGCUGGAUUCUCAUCAAGUUUUGCACUACUUUCGAGGGAGAAAUCUCGACGAGAAGCUACUGAAGAAGUUGAAGAGGAAUUUGAUGGACAUCAAUGCUGUGAUAGAUGAUGCAGAACAAAAGCAGUUCAGUAAUUCAUUGGUCAAAGAAUGGGUUGAUGAGGUUAGAGACGUCUUGUAUGAUGCAGAAGAUCUGCUGGAGCAAAUAGACUAUGAAUUCUCCAAGACUAAGUUGAAAGCUGAAUUCCAGACCAGUUCUAGCAAGGUCCACAGUUUUGAAUCCAAGAUCAUAGCACUCAUAGAUGAUCUAGAAUAUCUUUUGAACCAAAAGAUUGUUAAAAAUCUCAAAGUUUACAGUGGCGAUAGAUCUGGGUAUGGUAAUAAGGUGUCGGAGAAAAAAGUUGAAUCAACGUCGUUGGUGGCUGAAGAGGUUAUUUAUGGCAGAGAUAAGGACAAAGAAAUUAUCUUUAGCUGGCUGACAUCUGACACUAAUGAUAAUAAGCUGUCAAUACUUUCUAUUGUGGGUAUGGGUGGGAUGGGUAAGACCACACUUGCUCAACAUGUAUACAAUGAUCCAAAGACAGAGGAAGCUAACUUUGAUGAAAAAGCUUGGGUUUGCGUUUCUGAUGCAUUUGAUGCUUUGAGAGUAUCCAAAACAAUUAUUGGAGCUUUCACUAACUCAAUAUAUGGCAGUGGAGACCUAGAAAUGGUUCAUGGAAAAUUGAAAACAUGGUUGCCCGGAAAGAAGUUUCUUCUUGUUCUGGAUGAUGUUUGGAACGAAGACCGAAACCAAUGGAAAGCAUUACAAACGCCUCUUACGUUUGGAGCUAAAGGAAGUAAAAUUUUAGUCACAACACGCAGUCACAAAGUUGCUUCUAUCAUGCAGUCAACCUACAUACUCCAACUAAAGCAAUUAGAUGAAGAUCACAGCUGGGAAACUUUUGCUAAACAUGCAUUCCAAGAUGAAAACUCUAAGUUGAAUUCGGAGUUAAAGGAGAUUGGCAUGAAGAUAGUUGAAAAGUGCCAAGGAUUGCCUCUGGCCCUUGAAACAAUAGGAUGUCUUUUACAGUCAAAGUCAUCUGUUUCAGAGUGGGAAGGUGUAUUGACAAGCGAGAUAUGGGACUUACCAAUAGAAGAUAGUAAAAUCGUCCCUACUUUGUUGCUGAGCUAUUACCAUCUUCCUUCUCAUCUCAAGAGAUGUUUCGCUUAUUGUGCAAUAUUCCCCAAAGACUAUAGGUUUGACAAGGAGAGUUUAAUUCUCUUAUGGAUGGCUCAAAAUUUUCUAUAUUGCUCUCAACAAAGUAAGUCUCUAGAAGAAGUAGGUGAAAACUACUUCAAUGAUCUAGUAUCAAGGUCAUUCUUUAAACAAAUAAUUGGGAACAAGAAAACAUAUUUUGUCAUGCACGACCUUCUCAAUGAUUUAGCAAAAUAUGUUUCAGGUGAAAUCUGCUACAGGUUAGGCGUUGAUGAUGAAAAAAGAGUAUCAAGGAAGACCCGUCACUUAUCAUAUGAAAGCGGUCCUAUUCAAUGUGAUACGAGUUUAUGUGAUGCUAAAGGGUUACGGACAUUUAUAACCUUGUCCUGCGAUCGUAAGAUUUCAAUAGAAGAGUUAAUCUCCAACUGUAAGUUCUUACGAGUCUUAUCAUUGCAUUGGUGUUUUACGGUGCCUGAUAGUAUAGGCGAUCUUAUACACCUCCGCUUAUUAGACCUUUCAAAUUCCGACAUAAAGAGACUUCCUGACUCAACCUGUUCACUCUAUAACUUGCAAGAGUUGAAGCUAAACGAUUGCAUGCGUUUGAAGGAGCUGCCCUUGACUUUGCAUGAGCUCACCAAUUUGCGCCGCCUUGAACUGAUGGGAAAUACUUUAAUAAAGGCUCUACCCCAUUUAGGAAAGUUGAAGAAUCUUCACGUGUGGAUGGGCAUGUUUGAGGUUGGCAAAAAUAGUGAGUUCAGUAUUCGACAAUUAGGAGAACUUGAUCUUCAUGGAAGGCUGUCAAUUAAAAGUCUUCAAAAUAUCGCAAAUCCCUACGAGAUGAAUUUGAAGAAUAAAAGACAUAUUGUGAGGCUGAGUUUACAAUGGAAUUUGAAGGAGAACAAUGCCGAUUCAAUGAAACAAAGAGAAGUACUUGAGAAUUUGCAACCUUCUAGACAUUUGAAGUACUUGUCAAUCGAUGGCUAUGGUGGCACACAAUUUCCCCGUUGGCUAUAUGAUAAUUCUCUAUCGAAUGUUGUGUCCUUAACCUUGAAGCACUGUAAAUAUUGCCUACUGUUGCCUUCCCUCGGACUAUUGACAUUUCUCAAGCACUUGGCAAUAGAUGGCCUUGAUCAAAUACUGAGGAUAGAUGCUGAUUUUUACGGGAAUAGCUCUUCUGCAUUUCCAUCCUUAGAAAUAUUGAGCUUUACUAAUAUGAAAGAAUGGGAAGAAUGGCAAUGCAUGAAGGGUGCUUUUCCAUGUCUUCAAAGUCUUUCUCUGAUGAAUUGUCCCAAGCUGAAAGGAAACUUGCCAGAACAACUUUCUCUUCUAAAGAGACUGUCUAUUAGACGUUGUGAACAACUUGGGGCUUCGAUUCCCCUGGCAAUAGAAAUGGAAGGUGUGAAGAUGGAGCCAUCUUCAUUUGAUAUGAUAGGGCCCCUCGUGUCUGAUACUCCGCUUGAAUUCUUGUAUAUUGAUUUUUGUCCGGGUAGGAAUAUUCCCAUAAACCAUUGCUACUAUUUCCUUGUAGAUUUAAAUAUCAAGAAAUGUUGUGACUCUCUCACGAACUUUUCCUUGGACUUGUUUCCAAAGCUCUCCCACCUUUCGUUAAACAGGUGUCAUAACCUACAGAUGAUAUCGCAGGGACACACUCAUGGUCAUUUGAAGAGUUUGGAAAUUAAAAAGUGUCCUCAAUUUGAAUCAUUUCCCAAUGAUGGAUUAUUUGCACCUCAGCUAGAGACAUUUUUUAUCAAAGGAUUGGAGAAAUUGAAGUCAAUGCCUAAAUGCAUGUCUGCCCUUCUUCCAUCUCUUAAUCAGCUGUACAUACACAGUUGUCCAGUGGUGGAAUUGUCCGAGGGAUGUUUGCCAUCAAAUGUAAAAAAAAUGUCGCUUCUGCAUUGCUCCAAACUUGUGGCCUCCCUAAAGGGGGCUUGGGGAACCAACCAUUCCUUAAAAGUCUUGGAUAUUGGCAAUGUGGAUGUGGAGUGUUUUCCGGGUGAAGGUUUGCUCCCACUUUCUCUUAGUUAUCUAGAGAUAUCUGAUUGUCCAAAUCUUAAGAAACUCGACUUCAGGGGACUCUGUCACCUCUCCUCUCUUCAGAAUUUGACUCUUCUUGACUGUCCUAUACUCCAAUACUUGCCAGAGGAGGGUCUGCCCAAAUCCAUCUCACUACUCGUAAUUGAGGAUUGUCCGUUGCUCAAAUAGCGCUGCAAGAAACAAGAAGGUAAAGACUGGGAAAAGAUUGCUCACAUUAAAACUAUACUGGUUGAUAUUAAUGCCGAUGAAAAAUAGAAAAUACUGGUUCAUCAUAUUGAUAGUGUACGAGUAUUGAUAUAAGACAAAGCACACGUUGGAAAUUACUAAGUCACCAAUUCUCCGUAUGCCUACAUUUUCCUCAGGCUCUAUAUUCAAAUCUGUACCAGUAGGGACCGGGCAGCGUAUAGACCGGACGUCCGUAUGGCCAAUGACUACUUAAUUACGCGACUUCGUUACUCGUUAUUCGGAGGGGUCGGGCAACGUAUAGGCCAGACGUCUGUAUGACCAUGAUUAUCCAAUCACGCAACCUUGCCGCGGGUCGUCCGGACGAACAACAACUCAUGAGCUGGCCGACUGUAAGACCAAAUAUCAGGAGGCCGACCGACUCUACUGCCAGUUGACCAGAUUAGGAUUAAGAUUAAGGUAAAGUAAGUAGCUGCUAAAAGCUAUUGGGUCAAAGUUGGGCCGUGAUUAACUUUUCACUAAUCCCAAGCCCAUAACAAAAACUAUAAAUACAGGUUAAAGGUGAGUGGUAGGAGGCAACAUUUAUUGCACAUUUAUCACUGUUGUAUUGAAAAUGCCAUUACUUUCACAUUAACUUUGGCAUGGGAGAAUCUUUCGCAGGUUUUUCCCACCCGCACGCAGAGGAGUGAAAUAAAGAGUAAGAAGCGAGACCGGACAACCGAUAGACUGGAAGAGGAAAACGUGAAGAUAUUAGACGACUCAAUCCCUACAACCGAAACAAAAUCUAAGAUAAAGAAUAUAACUACCAACUAUGUUUUUCAAUGAAUUGUAAAAAAAUAUAUUUUUAGAGCUUUAAUUGACAAUAUUUAUGAAUAUCUCAAAGUGUAUAAGCUAUUGAAAAUAUUUAUUGUACAGACAAUCUCAAAAACUGUUUAUAAAGACAUUUUAAUUUUAACUUAAUUAAUUAUGAUAAGUGAUAAUCAAUUAUAUAUUUUAUUCUUAAUUGUUUGUAGAAGUACAACCUUGGAACAAUUUAAUUCAUUAAUGCUUGUCCUAUUUGGAUUUUCGCAUGGAAGCCUUACUGAUGACCAACGUGGGCGGUCGCACUGGUAGUUCUAACGGCCAUAUAAGUUCAAAAAAAAAAAAAAUAAAAUAAAAUAAAAUUGUAAAAAAUUCAUCAAAAUAGAAAUUUAAUUAAAAUAAAUUAUAUUGAUGAAAAUAGACGAAAAUAAAAAAUAAAAUAAUAUUUAAAUCAAAAUAUAAUUAAUCAUCUAUCGUUUAAAGGUAGAUCUAACUUUUAUGAUUAGAACAAAACAAUCUCAAAAUGAUAAAUUAUGAAAAUUUUAGAAUUCUUACUUCUGUUCAUGAUUAGAACUCCAA